GGGAGAAUUGUCCUUGUUUUACUGUCAUUGUGGGGAUUUUAGCUGUGCACAACGAUAGAAGAACCAACCCCCUUCCCACACAAAUACACCACAAUGCAAAAGUCUCCCUCCUGGCCACCUUUGACUCACUCACACACACUCACUCGCACACACCCCACAAACUCAAAUGCUCGUUCAUUUGCAUCGUAGCCCGGAGGCGCGCCCACGCUGUUCAGGUUCAUAAGCGCAGUACGAGGAGGCGUCACCAGUCAUUCAAAUUCAGAGGAUGAGUAUUGCUCACGCCAACGAGAAGAGAGUAUGAGUGUUUAGUUCCGAACAUUCAUAGUAGCCUAAGUUGUGCCACGUUCUUUGCGAGUUUUAGUCAAUUAACAUUAUUGGAAUUUAGCUUCAAUCUUGAGCAGGCAAUGUUGAACGAAGCUUCGGGUCAGAAGUACUUUGAUGUUCGAAACGGUACUAUUGGAAUGUAUAAUGUAAUAUCGUCAGUGAUGCUGGCUGCUGAGAGAAAUUGAGGGUUUUGGUUGGUCUUAUUAAUGUUAUUCCAAUAGCUAUAAUAAUUGAUAAACACCUGUUCAUUUGCAUCCGGUCAGUUAUGAAGACGGGUACUCUUAGAAGCGCCAGGACAUCCUUUGCAUGAAACUGCAGCAAGAUCAAGACGGUGAGUCCAACUGGACCCGAUUCAAAGAGAAGCUGGGAAACAAGCCUGGGGAAAAGGACUGAGGACCACGACACCUGUGCCCAGUCUACCCCCAAAACUAACCCCUCCCACAAAAAAAGAAACCUUAAAUCUACCAUGUCUCUCAACACCUUCCACCUGAUGGAGACCCUCAAGAACUCCCCGUCCGUUUUACGCCGCCGCUUCCGCCGUGACCGCACCGAGUCCCUCUCCCACGGCGACCCGCUCUUCAAGGUCCACUACCUGGGCACUGAGAAAAUCUUCUCCCUGGAUCUACAGCAGGCCCAGGACGCCAUAGCCCGGCUGCUCGACGGGGCCUCCAACGGAAAGAAACUGAGCAAAGACCAUGCGUUGGUGGUUCGUCCACGCUACGUCGAAGUCAAAGAGCUCAGCACUGGACGCCAGCUCACUAAGACGUACCUCCAGGACAUCGCCUACUGCGCGGCCGACGCCACCAGACCCAACGUGUUUCUGUACAUCUGUAAGCAUCACGGGCAACAGCUGCACUGCCGGGUGUUUUGGUGUAGCCGGGCAGAGCGGGCACGGGACAUGACUGCCUGCCUGGCACACUCCUUCCAGAGGGCACUGAAUGACUGGCAGGGGGACGGGGACGUUGGGUUAGGGGGAAGUACCGACACGCUGACCCCAGAAAAGGACGGGGUGAAGGAGGGAGAGGAUAUGCCCAGCACCACUACUAACCCCAAAAACUCCAUACAACCAGACAGCUGUGGAAGAGUCCGUUGGAAGAAGAGGAGCUCCCUGUCUCGUAGUCCACUGAGAGCCAUGACCAGGAAGGGCUCUGCCUCUGACAUCUGGCACUGAGUCCCCGAUCCCCAGAAUGGGACACGGAACUGACGACAUCCCCAGUGGCUAGCUACAGCACGGAGGGAGGGAUUGAAUGAACCCGCCACUACUGGACACAACAGGAUUGAAAAAAAAAGGAGUGUGAGGGAGAUCACUGCUGGACUUUCUUUCAAAUGAGACAUUGCCUUGCUUACAUGUUGAGUCUACAGUACCGUUCAUGACCGGCAUGAAUGGUAGCCUACAAACUGUGGAAGUUAAUGACUAGCUACCUUGGCUUUUGUCUCUGGAUUACUAGAGAACAAGGUGCUUAGUUGAUAGCGUUGUACUGUACGCUGUUGGUAGAAACCAGUAUUCACCUCAGUGGCCUUGUGACUCGCUUUCACUGUUGGAACGCUUCAAGGCUGAACUGCUAAUUUCCAAUGCUACUCCAAGUUACUUGUUUUCCACUGAGUGGCCUUGAUACUCUGAACUGUCAGUUAUGCUUAGAAGAAAGGAGCUCAAGGUCCUGUGUGCCUUUUUUAGCUAGACAAGGACAUGACUACAGAGUUCACCAAACCUCAAUUUCCUCUCCAUACAAUGCUGAACACAGCCUGGACUGUUUGAAACUGGUCACAGUCAUGGCGAUGUCUGUUUAAAAAAAAAAAACAUUUAACAUUUGUUUGUAUUUAUUUUAAUGAGAAGUCUUGUUUGUAACACACGGUUCAUGCACCUCUUCUCUUCCUGAAACACUAGAUUGUUUUUUUAGAAGGGAGGAGGAGCUUAAGUUUGAGCCGAAUGUGAGCUCAGUGUUCGUCUUGGGAGAGGGGUUAAAAACGGAGGUGUGUGAGAGUGUUCAUGGGGCAUAAAGGGUUCAUUUUAAUUUAAGCAGACCAUAGAAGAACUGGGCUAUGUUGUCAUAAUUACACAGUAAUGUGUGUUCAUAGGCAGGGUUUUAAUACAUUUUAGUAUCAAUUCAUUCGGUUCAGACUUCACCACGUGUAAUUUAGUCCAGUUGUUCCCAACCUUUUUCGGUCACUGUACCACCAACUGAAUUUCUCUGCCUGGAGUACCCCUGAAGUACCCCCUCAUGUGCAUUUUGCCAGUAGGUCUAUGGUCUCAUGAGUCUUAUCAAGUACCCCCUGUGGCUAGACCACAUACCCCCAGGUGUCCUAGUACUCUUGUUGGGAACCACUAGCCUAGUCAAUGCACACUGACUGUUCACAUUAUUUAUUUUUUGUCAUAACAUAUUACUAUUCAAGUAAAAUGUAAUCCUUAAUUAAGUUCCAUAAGCUUAAUUUGUUCCUAUAAGGUGUUAGUGUUUGCUAGAACUGUGAGUUUGUUUUUUUCUUCAUACUGUGUCACACAGGAGGUUGGUGGCACCUUAAUUGGGGAGGACAGACUCGUAAUAGCUGGCGUGGAAUAGUAUCCAAUACAUCAAACAUGUGGUUUCCAUGCUUUUGCCAUUACAUUUGUUCCGUUCCAGCCAUUAUUAUGAUCCGUCCUCCCCUCAACAGCCUCCAUUGAUGUAUGUAUAUAUUUGCAAUUAUGUGGAAAAAUCACUCACCCAUGAUCCUGCUUGUUCCUCAUUAUUCCUGUGUGGGUGAAGUAUAACCCUGGGUGGGUGAUUUUUUUAAAUUUAUUUUAUUUUAUUUUUUUUGGGGGCGGCAUGUGUGGGGCAGGAAUGUUGGUUUGCAGUGUACGGAACUUCGACAGUGCACCUGCAUUCCUAUGGGGACAUUAAAGUUCUCGUAUCCUCCUUGGCUCUGCCCACUCUCUCCCCUCAGUCUGGCUUAACCUAACCUCAUGACUCUGCAUGUUUCAUAGCAUUAGUGUGUUGGCGUCCUGGCCCCAAGCUCAAAUACCUGUCUACACACACACAUUCUCAUGCCACAUCCGCUCAUUCCAUACAAUAUACUUCUGACCACCACGUCAGGGUUGUAUUCAUUGGGCACCUCAUAUCUCCAUGGUUUACAGUGAAAGGUGCCUCAGUUAUUUGACUUGACAAGAUGUCAAUGAUAUCAAUGGAUAGUUUUUAAAAAAUACAUUUUUAUUUGAAGUGACUAAUGUUAUGCAUCUCAAACUACAAAUGGCACAACCCCAUCUUGGGAGGGCAAGUGUCUAGUUUUGUUCUUGUUUUGUACAUCCUUGUUUACAUAUUUUUAAAUACGUGUAAGCUAUGGAAUAAACUUUCAUACAAUGAUACUUUUGGAAAUGUCUUUCUACCUCAACCGACGAUGCAGCGCUUCCAAAUGGCCAACCUCAAGCUAAAAACAAACGUCCCGUACCACACUACAGCCUGUGCUGUCUGUUUUAGUACUGGUGCCAAACAUUUGAUGGAGACUAAACAAGCAGAGGCAUAUCUAUUUAAAAUAUUAUGGGUGGGUCUAACUCUGACUGAAAGAAAACAACAUACUGCUGUGGGGCUGGAGAUGGUAGACAGAAGUUUAGGGGGUCAUGGGAUAAGUUAUGAGGCUUAUUUCUCAAGGUACUUUAUUCGGACAUUUUCCUAUAGUUGUUUACACUGGCGUUUUACCUCAAGCUUCACUGACUGGAGGUUCAUUUACAGUACCCCUCCCCCACAAGAUUAAGUACCAUCAUUCAAAUGUGCCCUUAUGGUACUACAGUAAAACAUUUCCUGGAAUGGAGGGACUACCUGGACUUAUCAGAUAAGAAACAGUUGUUUUUGGCUGCAAAUAGUUUUGCUACAGUGUGCACUAAUGAAUAUGACCCUGGUCACUCUUCCUCUGAGGACUCUCCUGAAGCAGGAGUGGCUGGCCUGGUGCUGCUGCCCUGUUGUCUUUGGACUGCAG
Long non-coding RNA from Oncorhynchus tshawytscha (Chinook salmon), 4266 nucleotides. Lineage: Eukaryota; Metazoa; Chordata; Actinopteri; Salmoniformes; Salmonidae. The record is from Ensembl.